GACGAACGCUGGCGGCGUGCUUAACACAUGCAAGUCGAACGGAAAGGCCCUGCUUUUGUGGGGUGCUCGAGUGGCGAACGGGUGAGUAACACGUGAGUAACCUGCCCUUGACUUUGGGAUAACUUCAGGAAACUGGGGCUAAUACCGGAUAGGAGCUCCUGCUGCAUGGUGGGGGUUGGAAAGUUUCGGCGGUUGGGGAUGGACUCGCGGCUUAUCAGCUUGUUGGUGGGGUAGUGGCUUACCAAGGCUUUGACGGGUAGCCGGCCUGAGAGGGUGACCGGCCACAUUGGGACUGAGAUACGGCCCAGACUCCUACGGGAGGCAGCAGUGGGGAAUAUUGCACAAUGGGCGGAAGCCUGAUGCAGCAACGCCGCGUGCGUGAUGACGGCCUGCGGGUUGUAAACCGCUUUCGCCUGUGACGAAGCGUGAGUGACGGUAAUGGGUAAAGAAGCACCGGCUAACUACGUG
Molecule: ribosomal RNA, 468 nt
Filed under: uncultured bacterium
Lineage: Bacteria
Description: partial 16S ribosomal RNA
Rfam family: Bacterial small subunit ribosomal RNA
Source: RNAcentral